This 460-nucleotide ribosomal RNA is filed under the name uncultured bacterium. Its description in RNAcentral is "partial 16S ribosomal RNA". It matches the Rfam family "Bacterial small subunit ribosomal RNA", at positions 338 to 795 of the family's 1533-position model. The record is from RNAcentral.
CCUACGGGUGGCAGCAGUGAGGAAUAUUGGUCAAUGGACGAGAGUCUGAACCAGCCAAGUCGCGUGAAGGAUGACUGCCCUAUGGGUUGUAAACUUCUUUUAUAUGGGAAUAAAACGUUCCACGUGUGGGAUUUUGUAUGUACCAUAUGAAUAAGGAUCGGCUAACUCCGUGCCAGCAGCCGCGGUAAUACGGAGGAUCCGAGCGUUAUCCGGAUUUAUUGGGUUUAAAGGGAGCGUAGGUGGAUUGUUAAGUCAGUUGUGAAAGUGUGCGGCUCAACCGUAAAAUUGCAGUUGAAACUGGCAGUCUUGAGUACAGUAGAGGUGGGCGGAAUGCGUGGUGUAGCGGUGAAAUGCUUAGAUAUCACGAAGAACUCCGAUUGCGAAGGCAGUUCACUGGCCUGCAACUGACACUGAGGCUCGAAAGUGUGGGUAUCAAACAGGAUUAGAUACCCGAGUAGUC